UACGUAGGGUGCAAGCGUUGUCCGGAAUUAUUGGGCGUAAAGAGCUCGUAGGCGGUUUGUCGCGUCUGCUGUGAAAACUCGGGGCUUAACCCCGGGCCUGCAGUGGGUACGGGCAGACUAGAGUGCGGUAGGGGAGACUGGAAUUCCUGGUGCAGCGGUGAAAUGCGCAGAUAUCAGGAGGAACACCGGUGGCGAAGGCGGGUCUCUGGGCCGUAACUGACGCUGAGGAGCGAAAGCGUGGGGAGCGAACAGG
Molecule: ribosomal RNA, 253 nt
Filed under: uncultured bacterium
Lineage: Bacteria
Description: partial 16S ribosomal RNA
Rfam family: Bacterial small subunit ribosomal RNA
Source: RNAcentral